UCCGCAAAUGUGCACUCUUCAGUGUCUCCUUCUGCCUUUUGAAACUCAUCUCUACAGCCAAACCACCUCCUUCUCUCGCAAGGAUACAUACACAGGAAGAGCAUAUCUGAGAAUAACCUCCAAUUUGCAUAAAAUAAAGAAGAAAAUACAUAAAGAAAACUGUAAUUCCGAGACAAACACCUCAUUGAAGAGCACAGUUAUCAAAAAACACACCUAAAAAGAAAACUGUUUAC
Molecule: long non-coding RNA, 233 nt
Filed under: Manihot esculenta (cassava)
Lineage: Eukaryota; Viridiplantae; Streptophyta; Magnoliopsida; Malpighiales; Euphorbiaceae
Description: long non-coding RNA (MESC_LNC007340)
Source: RNAcentral